UUUAAAUUAAAUAAAUAAUUGUAAGUACAUAUCUUGUACAAAUUAAAUUUAUAAAAAUUAAACAUUUAACACAUUUAUGUUAAUUAAACAUAAUUAUAUGUGAAAUAAUUUUAAAAAUAAUAAGAAAUUAUUAUGUCAUAAGAAAUUUUUAAAACUAUGCCCGUAACUAUAAAAACCAUUCGUUUUGGUUGGUGAGAGGUUAACUGAAUAAAAGGAAUUCAGAUUUCCCUACAGGCUUGCAAGAUUCGUGAUUUCAUUAUGAUAUUAUAUUCGUCAGUUUAUCAAGAAACUGAACAUUAACAAAGCAAAACACGGUGCAUUUAAAAACAGAUACACUGAAUCAAAUAAAAAAAAUGAGUUUGAAGAAGAUUGAGAAAAAAUAAUAUCAUAAAGUGGAUAGUGAAUGGACUUUUGGCAAGGUUUAUUUUUUAAACGAAAAAUGUGCAACCAUAAUUCAUAAUUCCAUUUCUAUUACUACACACCUCCUUUUUACUCUCAAGAGACCAUCAAUGAUGAAUAUUUUAAGCAAAUCUAAAAUCCAAUUUUAUCAACG
Aphis gossypii (cotton aphid) is the source of this 553-nucleotide long non-coding RNA. RefSeq lists it as uncharacterized. The transcript is spliced from 3 exons. The record is from RefSeq and is a predicted model, not a curated record. Lineage: Eukaryota; Metazoa; Arthropoda; Insecta; Hemiptera; Aphididae.